Molecule: ribosomal RNA, 464 nt
Filed under: Staphylococcus hominis subsp. hominis
Lineage: Bacteria; Bacillati; Bacillota; Bacilli; Caryophanales; Staphylococcaceae
Description: bacterial SSU rRNA
Rfam family: Bacterial small subunit ribosomal RNA
Source: RNAcentral
CAUGCAAGUCGAGCGAACAGACGAGGAGCUUGCUCCUUUGACGUUAGCGGCGGACGGGUGAGUAACACGUGGGUAACCUACCUAUAAGACUGGGAUAACUUCGGGAAACCGGAGCUAAUACCGGAUAAUAUUUCGAACCGCAUGGUUCGAUAGUGAAAGAUGGCUNUGCUAUCACUUAUAGAUGGACCUGCGCCGUAUUAGCUAGUUGGUAAGGUAACGGCUUACCAAGGCAACGAUACGUAGCCGACCUGAGAGGGUGAUCGGCCACACUGGAACUGAGACACGGUCCAGACUCCUACGGGAGGCAGCAGUAGGGAAUCUUCCGCAAUGGGCGAAAGCCUGACGGAGCAACGCCGCGUGAGUGAUGAAGGUCUUCGGAUCGUAAAACUCUGUUAUUAGGGAAGAACAAACGUGUAAGUAACUGUGCACGUCUUGACGGUACCUAAUCAGAAAGCCACGGCUAA